CAGAAGUGAAUUAUUUGAUAUCUUUAUAUAUUUGUUUUUUCACACACAGAAACAAAGGGGGCUUUUGCUCACAGAUCUGCCAUUGGAACCAACUUCUAAUCGAAUGGAAAUUUUGCAAAUGUUGGAAUCUGGAAUUGCCCCAUCUUUCUGCUCCUCUCAAAGAUGAAAGAAUAUUUGUUUUUUUUAAUGAAAUACAUUGAAACAGUAUAAAAAUAAUUUAAA
Molecule: long non-coding RNA, 222 nt
Organism: Pseudopipra pipra
Lineage: Eukaryota; Metazoa; Chordata; Aves; Passeriformes; Pipridae
Exons: 2
Source: RefSeq, a predicted model, not a curated record